Molecule: small RNA, 266 nt
Filed under: Pogona vitticeps (central bearded dragon)
Lineage: Eukaryota; Metazoa; Chordata; Lepidosauria; Squamata; Agamidae
Description: 7SK RNA (ENSPVIG00000010984.1)
Rfam family: 7SK RNA
About the family: 7SK was discovered as an abundant small nuclear RNA in the mid-70s but a possible function has only recently been suggested. Two independent studies have found that 7SK RNA binds the CDK9/cyclin T complex (known as elongation factor P-TEFb). P-TEFb activates transcription by phosphorylating the C-terminal domain of RNA polymerase II.
Source: Rfam by way of RNAcentral
AGAUCUGGGGGGUUUUCUGGCUGCAACAUCUGUCACCCUAUUGCUCUCCAUUCAGCUGAUCUGGCUGGCUUGGUGGGUGUCCCCUUCCACCCUCACCACUCCACAUGUGUCCCUCCUUAAGCUGCUCACUUGGUGGAAGAGGAUGAUGAGUCCAGACAGAAGGCGUAUAUCAUCCUUUUGGUCAACGGUAUACAGUGAGGAUGGCAGUGCUGCUUUGAAUUUGAUGAUGUGUUUUUAGUUCACAUGCUGCGUGUGUGUGUUUAAAU